This 393-nucleotide ribosomal RNA is filed under the name uncultured bacterium. RNAcentral's name for it is "partial 16S ribosomal RNA". It matches the Rfam family "Bacterial small subunit ribosomal RNA", at positions 523 to 918 of the family's 1533-position model. The record is from RNAcentral.
AUACGGAGGAUCCGAGCGUUAUCCGGAUUUAUUGGGUUUAAAGGGAGCGUAGGUGGACAGUUAAGUCAGUUGUGAAAGUUUGCGGCUCAACCGUAAAAUUGCAGUUGAUACUGGCUGUCUUGAGUACAGUAGAGGUGGGCGGAAUUCGUGGUGUAGCGGUGAAAUGCUUAGAUAUCACGAAGAACUCCGAUUGUGAAGGCAGCUCACUGGAAUGCAACUGACACUGAUGCGCGAAAGGGUGGGUAUCAAACAGGAUUAGAUACCCUGGUAGUCCACACAGUAAACGAUGAAUACUCGCUGUUUGCGAUAUACAGUAAGCGGCCAAGCGAAAGCAUUAAGUAUUCCACCUGGGGAGUACGCCGGCAACGGUGAAACUCAAAGGAAUUGACGGGG